GCCGGGCUAGCUCAGCGGUAGAGCAGCGGUUUUGUAAACCGAAGGUCGGGGGUUCAAUCCCCUCGCCCGGCA
This 72-nucleotide transfer RNA is filed under the name Rugositalea oryzae. RNAcentral describes it as "Rhodoplanes sp. Z2-YC6860 tRNA". It matches the Rfam family "tRNA". From Rfam's summary of the family: Transfer RNA (tRNA) molecules are approximately 80 nucleotides in length. Their secondary structure includes four short double-helical elements and three loops (D, anti-codon, and T loops). The record is from Rfam by way of RNAcentral. Lineage: Bacteria; Pseudomonadati; Pseudomonadota; Alphaproteobacteria; Hyphomicrobiales; Nitrobacteraceae.